GCGAAGUUUGAAGUGCGUGGGGCACCGAUGCGGAAGACGCUGGUGACCGAUUGUGACGAGGUGCCAACAACAAAGAAUCCACGUGUCUAGCGGGAGGAGGGUGAGUAUAUUGAGAGUACCAGCCCGGAUAAUUAUAAACGGGUGAUGGGCUAAGGUUCAGUUCAUGCAGUACGUGUAAUCAAAAGCUAGCGGCAGAGAUCAGAACGGGCUGGCCGCAGGAGGACAUGCCUGCGUUCGGUGGCUUCCCGAUAGCACGUGCCUCACGCUGGGGACUGCCUGUUAAGUCGGCCUGUAUCGGAAGAAAAGGCGGGAGCGUGCCUGGUCGCCCGGUGGGUUAGGUAGCUGCUGAGUUCUGUGGUACAACGAAGCAGGGCCUGGGGCUGAGCCUGCGUGGGUGAGCUUGCACACGAGGAAAGCAGAUGGAGCCACGGGGCUGUGGUGAAUUGGGCAUGUACACGCCCGAAAGGUGCCCCAAAGUCAAGGGCAGGACACUGGGUGGCCUGGCCCAUCAGGAGAGAGCUACCUUCGGGGUGCUCUCAAAGGGUGGGGGAGCCCGGGGUGUGAGAAAGGAAUAAGAAGAAAGAAGCCGCGUGCUCUCUGUGUGGACUUGCUGUCAGCAGACAGGCACCAACACCACCCAUCAGUGGGGCCACCCUUGAUGCCAGCUGCCGGGGAAGACGUGAUGCGACCCGAUGGCGUGGCGAGGACAUGCCGGGGGGAAGCUGAUACUGGAGGGGGGUGGCUCAUGGGAUGUGGGCAAGAGCAGUGUUACCUGAAAUAAGGCCUUAAAGUAUUGACUGACUGUAAACGUACCUGGCUGCAGUAGAGAACUAAAUAAACUUCGCUUUUUUUUUUUUGCGUGGUGUG
Molecule: long non-coding RNA, 867 nt
Organism: Pygoscelis adeliae (Adelie penguin)
Lineage: Eukaryota; Metazoa; Chordata; Aves; Sphenisciformes; Spheniscidae
Exons: 2
Source: RefSeq, a predicted model, not a curated record